RNAcentral lists this transfer RNA (72 nucleotides) under Prevotellaceae bacterium. Its description in RNAcentral is "tRNA-Met". It matches the Rfam family "tRNA". Rfam says of the family: Transfer RNA (tRNA) molecules are approximately 80 nucleotides in length. Lineage: Bacteria; Pseudomonadati; Bacteroidota; Bacteroidia; Bacteroidales; Prevotellaceae. The record is from RNAcentral.
CGCGGAGUAGAGCAGUGGCAGCUCGUCAGGCUCAUAACCUGAAGGUCGUUGGUUCGAAUCCUUCCUCCGCUA